RNAcentral lists this ribosomal RNA (497 nucleotides) under uncultured bacterium. Its description in RNAcentral is "partial 16S ribosomal RNA". It matches the Rfam family "Bacterial small subunit ribosomal RNA", at positions 28 to 507 of the family's 1533-position model. The record is from RNAcentral.
GAUGAACGCUGGCGGCGUGCCUAAUACAUGCAAGUCGAGCGAACGGACGAGAAGCUUGCUUCUCUGAUGUUAGCGGCGGACGGGUGAGUAACACGUGGAUAACCUACCUAUAAGACUGGGAUAACUUCGGGAAACCGGAGCUAAUACCGGAUAAUAUUUUGAACCGCAUGGUUCAAAAGUGAAAGAAGGUCUUGCUGUCACUUAUAGAUGGAUCCGCGCUGCAUUAGCUAGUUGGUAAGGUAACGGCUUACCAAGGCAACGAUGCAUAGCCGACCUGAGAGGGUGAUCCGCCACACUGGAACUGAGACACGGUCCAGACUCCUACGGGAGGCAGCAGUAGGGAAUCUUCCGCAAUGGGCGAAAGCCUGACGGAGCAACGCCGCGUGAGUGAUGAAGGUCUUCGGAUCGUAGAACUCUGUUAUUAGGGAAGAACAUAUGUGUAAGUAACUGUGCACAUCUUGACGGUACCUAAUCAGAAAGCCACGGCUAACUACGUG